This is an RNA transcript of Coturnix japonica (Japanese quail), 5166 nucleotides long. It is a transcript of the gene named AFG2 interacting ribosome maturation factor, with no coding region annotated. The record is from RefSeq and is a predicted model, not a curated record. Lineage: Eukaryota; Metazoa; Chordata; Aves; Galliformes; Phasianidae.
GCGCGGCGCGUUGUGAUGACGCAUAAAACAGCGACAGCUUCCGGCUUAGCGGCCAACAUGGCGGCCAUGGUAGCAAUGGCGGCUGAGCUGCGGGUGUGGGCGGCCUCAGUUCGGCGAUGGGAUGAGGCCUGGAGGGCUUCUAUAGCCGCUUUUAAUCCGCUGUUGGCCUCGCUGGCCGGGCUGGCGGCUCAGAUGAGGGCUACGCAGCGUUUAGAGUGGGGAGGAACGCCGUUAGGGGCCUACAGCGAGCUGAAGGAGAGGCUGUGGAGGAAACAACGCGGAGCGGCCGAGGCGCUGAUGGAGGAGAUGAACGAGAGGAGGGAGGAGCUGCACGCCGUGAGGGACGCAGUUGGGGCCGGCUUAGCUGCUGUGAUGCGGUUGUACGAGGAGCAGGUGGCAGAGCUGGGCCUAACCGAGGUGCUGAGACGUGAGCCGAGCCGCCCAUCGUUGGCUGAUGUUCUGGAGGGACUGCAGGAUGUGGAGCGUUACUAUCGGUAUAUGUAUCCUUCCUCGUGGAUAUCCUUCCUCCUGUUGGCUGCUCUUUUUGUCUGUGUUGUCCUUAUGCGGUUUGAAGGUACCUGGAGAUCAAACAGUUCCUCCUGCUCAUCAGCUGUGAUAGCCUGGCAGAUAUGGAAGCUCUCCCACAGACAUGGGAGGGGAUUUUGGAGCGUUAUGGGGAAGACACUAUUCAAGCUGCGUUAUUAAAACAAACACAUUUGUGGACCUGCAAAAAGAAAGAAAGAAAAAGAAACGAAAACAAAAGAUGAGAUUGAAGCUUUCCCAAGGGCGAUAUCUGAAAGCUGGGCAACGUUAAGAUCGACGUUCAGUCUUCAUCUUUUGAACCAAACAACGGAGGGAAAUGACACAUCAUCGAGUUAACCACUGGAAUUAGCAGCGCAUUCUUUAAUGGAGACAGGUUAAUUCCUUGGGUCACAUCCUCAUGACCUCUUUCUGCAGGUUCUGCAUCUUCAGGGCUUGUGAAUCGCAUCCCUGUGCAUGGACUGGGCCUCUCCCUGCAUUAUCACUCUUGGGUUGGGUGGGAGAGCAAACAGCCUUUGUCCUUAUGAAGAUGCAAUUUAGUGGCACGGUGGGGAUGGGUUGGUGGUUGGGUUCAGCCUUAGGGAUCUUUUCCAACACUUGUAAUUCUAUGAUUCUGUUUCUUUGCAUAGUUUUUUUUUUCCUUAAAGUUCCAAAUUUCGGACUUAAUUGAAAGCUUCAGAGAGAGGGAGACUCUCACCCUUUGUAUGGGAACUAGCCUGAACAGACUGACCACCUGAGGCAAGCAAUGAGUCAGUCAUGGGAGAGCAGGCGAAGGCAAUUCACCUGUGCUACCAGAAGGGAUGGAGCUUGGCUGCACCUCUCCUAGACCCCACUUAAGGACUGACUGCCACUAAGGAAGGAUCUCUCUCUGGAGAUUGCUCCUUUGUGGAGUUUUACUGUGAGCCUUUAACAUCACUUUAUCUGAGAAAAGAGAAGACAUCCAGAUUCCUUGGAAAAGGAAGAAAAAUGCUUGAAAAUGUGUCACUCUUAAAGACUGAGAAUACAGCUGAAACUAAGGAGGAGCACAUCUCCAUCAGUGUGUUAAACCUGGACUUCGGAGCAUUGCCUGGGGAGCACCAUGAUCAAGAAACCAAACAGCACUGCAGCAUGGUCAGGUAAAAGGGGUUGGGAUCAGCUGUACCUGGAGGCUCUGUGCACCACACUGCGCUCACCACAGUGCCAUGUAGACAGCCCAGAGCACUGAUGCUUUGCCGUCAGACAGGGCUGCAAGCCGUCCCCUCCUGUCCCAGCCAGGAUUACACAGCUCCUGCCACCCUGCCCUGAGUGCUGGCAUCCUUUUGUUCCUCCCUCCUGCCCCAGGGACAAUAAAACAAGAUUUUAAAGGGACCAAAGGAGAAUGUCAUCUCUGUGGGGCCGGGUAGGCUGGGACAUGUAGCAGUCUCAGGACAGCAGAGUUAAGUGAGUGUCCGUUGCUGUCAGGGAUGGCAGCCAGCGAUUUAUUUUCCACAUUAAUUUUGAUUAUGAGUCCUUACAUGGUUACAAAGCCCAAUUUUCACAGGGGAAAUCUGCCCCUCCACACACAGGACAACAAAUCAGCUUGACCUAAAGUUGUUCUUUCCUAAAUUUCUUGUGGAAUCUUGGCUGGACACAAGUUGUCUCAAAUGCAAUUACACUGUCAUAAAUAAUUUUCCACCUCUUUUUUCUGUCUCAACCAUCCAGCUCCCCUGGGGUCAGUGGAAAUUUCCCCCUUUUAUUAGGUUAGACGAAUUGGCACAGAGAAGAACUCUGUGCUCAUGGCAUCAUUGUCUGCUCUGAGCCAAAUCCUCAGAGAUCUCCCUCCUGCUAACACAAAGGACGUGGCUGGGCAGGAUAACGCAGCCGUGGUUGGGGUCAGACUGCCCUGAGCAUCCCCCCAGUACCCCUGCCCUGGGAAACACCCAUAAUAUUGCUGCAGAAACCCAGCUGGAGUUUGCAGGCCUGGAGCAUCUUCUCUGCUGGGAUGGGAAGGGACAACAUAGAGCUUCCAGGCAAGUAUGUGCUAGAAAUGCUUUGCUGCAUUUACACGUUAGCAGAGGGUUUUUAUGCACGUAUUUCUCAGCUCCUGCUCCAUUUCCAAGCCAUACCCUGCCCUCUCCUGUUCUCAGAGCCAGGCAGUGCGACCGAGCCCUCCCAGACAAUGGCUCAGCAAUGUGACUAACAGCUGCCACAUGUGGACACGUCCUCCUGCUAUUUAGUACCAGACUGUGCUCUAUUUUUUUUUACUGUGCCUUUCAUACGAACUGCAUCCCCAAACCACUUCACAGAGCGGACUAAUUAAAAUCAUGGGUACAAAGCCAUGCAGGGAGAAAAAACCCUCUUGAAGGGAUCCAAAGAGUGAGGGGAUCACGUUCAGCCCACAGGCUCCUCUGCAGGGUGACCGGUGGGUUCCUCCCUUCUCUCAGUCACACCCAUUUGAAAUCCAGGCAGAUUUCAUUAAUUCAGCCCCUUCGAGGGCUGGUAAACAAUUUUCAAGGGUCAUUAGAAGCGUUAUUGGACCUAAAACCCCUGUGCUGCUGUAGGAGCAGCAAGCCGCUGCCAGUAGGAGCCAGGGCACGUGGCAGGGCGGGACAUGGGGGGAAUACAGAGAGAGGCUGCAGCUUCCUUUGUGUCUUUUUGCACCUCCUGGAGCAUUUCAGGAAGAUGGGAGGAUGCUGUUCAUAGGUAUAAGGAACAAGCAUCCCCAGCCUUCCCAAGCUGCAGCCCGUGGGGCAUGAACGAGGUGGUUCAGGCCACAUGAGAUUGUGGCAAAGCCUCCUAAUUUUGGAUGCAUCUCUUGCAGCAAGGAGGAGUUUGUUUCUUGGAGCUCAUAGAGGUGGGACUGUUUUACUCUCUGUCCUUACGUGGGAUCUGGUUUCUGUCCAAACAAAGAGUUCAUCCUCUUCCCAUUCCUGCGACAGCGUGUUUUGAAUUAAAUCAUAUCUAAGGCACUCAGGAAAGUGUGAAGCAAUAUUUAUUUAGAGGAUGAAAGUGUUGGGAGAGCAGAAAGAGGACAAUUCAAUGGGAUGGCGUUGGCCAACGUUAGGAACUGAUGAACAGGAAAACACAGAGGGGACUGAACCCAUGAGCCAGGCCAGGGCUCUGCCAGGACUCUGAGCUGCAUUACUCAAUCAGUGGAAAGUCCAGGUAAAGCACAUCCCCUGGCUGCACAUGUGGUAGUGAUUUGAGCAGAUAUGCUGUCAGAGCGACGCUGACAUCAUAGCAAGAGGUAUUUACAGCCAACACGGAGGGCUUGGGGUGGACCUCAGCCCCCUCUCCUUUUUCUUUCUUUUUUUUUUUUGUUUUAUUCUGAGCUGUUAUUAUGAAGUAUUAUUUAUGAAGUGGUGAGAGCAUGAGCAGCGCAGGCCUGCCAAACUUAAAGCACUUUUCAUUUAACAGAAUGAAAAUUAUUUUAACAUGAGUAUCUAAAGCAAAGAUCCGCAGAUUCUGGACAGCUUUAUGGAGGCAGGCUAUAAAUUCUGAGCUUACAAAUGUAUUUUCUGUGCUGUGAGUCCGUGUCACUAACAGGCUCCUCUUCACCUCUGAGAGUUUAUUCUCAAUAAACACAAGUGAAACCCCCAGCAGUUUGCAGAGGAGGAUGUUAGCAGCUAUUACUGUAUCUAAUCAAUAGAGACCCAUGAAGUGCACCAGAAGAUGCUCAGAAGCAGAGCCUAGUGCUGGCCCAGUGCUGUGUGCCUUAAAGGGUGGGGGGCAUCACAAUGGGGCCUGUAAAUUGCAGACCUGACCCAUUGAGGGCAGUGGGACUCCCUCUGGUGGCUCUACUGAGCUCUCAGGAGGGUCCCAGGAUGACCCCCACUGCAGCACCACCCACCACCACGCUCCCAGCACAGAGCAUCCCCAACCAGGUACAUCAGCAGUGUCCCUGCCCGUGUUCAUGCAGAUGCAAAACACCAUCACAGUGUGCUUCUGCUCAACUGCUCAACCAGCAGGAUGUUCUUCUCUUUCCCACUCUCUUUUUUACCCCUGUGAUGCAAAGCAGACCAGCAUGUAGAGCAACAGGGUGAUGCACCAGGCUUGGGGGCACAGGAACGCAGCCAGAGGGGGCCACAUGCAAAACCUCUGAUUUUUCCAGUCAAAAACCCCACCAAAGCCCCCUCAGCUUCCUUCCUGCCACCCACUGCAACCUGCCUGCUUGCCAGUACCCGCAGACAGGAGGAACACACCAUGGUUUUCCAACACGCAAUUGGGCGUUUUCCAUUCACAAGAGCCAGAGUUCAGUCGUGCAGCCCCCAGCCCACACUUGGCUGCACUUUGCACAUGGAUGGAGAUGGAAGAUCUGCAGUGAUCUCUGUUUGUGACAGCUAGGAAGCGACCUGCUGAUAAUGGGGAUGUUGUGCUUUGCUUCCUCUCCUGGGCUGCUCAGCCAGUGGGGGUAUUUGUGUUUCUUUCUCACAUAGUUCAGAAUGCCAAUUGCUGUCACAUUAUUUUCGUUGGGAAUUCUGUGUCAGUUCAGUUUGCUACUGAAAUGUAUCCUCCCCACAGAUGAAGGCUGUUGGGAAACCACAAGCUUCGUGAAAUUCAACAUUGGUAAGCAGCAAAAUUAUGAAACCACAGGAAAUGGAAUGAGCAAUUCCUGCAAUUCUUGCUUUUCCCCCCUCGACUCCUCUGUUGCUAUUAGGAAAAAAAAAA